RNAcentral lists this ribosomal RNA (253 nucleotides) under uncultured bacterium. Its description in RNAcentral is "partial 16S ribosomal RNA". It matches the Rfam family "Bacterial small subunit ribosomal RNA", at positions 524 to 776 of the family's 1533-position model. The record is from RNAcentral.
UACGUAGGCAGCGAGCGUUGUUCGGAAUUGCUGGGCGUAAAGAGUGUGUAGGCGGUGCUCCCAGUCUGUUGUGAAAUCUCCCGGCUUAACUGGGAGGGUGCAGCGGAAACUAGAGUGCUAGAGGGUGGGAGAGGUAAGCGGAAUUCCAGGUGUAGCGGUGAAAUGCGUAGAUAUCUGGAGGAACACCGGUGGCGAAGGCGGCGUCCUGGACCAACACUGACACUGAUGAGCGAAAGCCAGGGGAGCAAACGGG